RNAcentral lists this long non-coding RNA (591 nucleotides) under Rattus norvegicus (Norway rat). RNAcentral describes it as "long non-coding RNA NONRATT017362". The record is from RNAcentral. Lineage: Eukaryota; Metazoa; Chordata; Mammalia; Rodentia; Muridae.
GCUUCCGCUUUUCCGGGUUCUUGGACCAAGUCCUGUCCUUGAACAGCUUGUGGGCACCGGAAUCUUGGGACAUUCAAUGGCCGCAUCUGUGCAGAUUCUUCUAGGAAUGGGAAGCGUGGAGAAGUACAACUAAACAACAACAACAACAAAACUAAUUGGUUGCUAAGGCAAAGUAACAGGAAUGAAACAUGUCUACUGACCUCCAACAACCUAUCUAUGCACAUGCAUCUGUCCAGUAGAAUACAUUUGGAUGCAUGGGAUCUAACAUGUCCUCUGAAUUCAGAUAAUAUGAGGAACAGCAUACCUGCUCAUAGAGACUGUAACAAGUUUGGAAUAGUAGGACAAUAGGGGGGGUUGUGGGGGGAGUUCAUGAACUCACCUGUGACUGAUACCUGUGUAGAAGAGCCACUUCAUCUCUUAUUGGAAUCACAUCAGAGGGAGCUGAUGUAUAGCAUGGAAAUCCAGCUAGCAUCUCUUCCCGUUUGCUAGGAGUGAAAUUGGCAAACAUCGGGUACUGGUCCACAGAGGCGAACUCACUUGCUGCACAUUCAUAGUAGGUACCUGUCAGCAGGGUCACUGUCAGCCAUGUCA